This is a long non-coding RNA of Syngnathus typhle (broad-nosed pipefish), 3269 nucleotides long. RefSeq lists it as uncharacterized. The transcript is spliced from 2 exons. NCBI's taxonomy places the organism in Eukaryota, Metazoa, Chordata, Actinopteri, Syngnathiformes, Syngnathidae. The record is from RefSeq and is a predicted model, not a curated record.
AGGAGAUUUGAAGUCUCCCCUGGACUACAAAAGUUCAAAACUCACUAGACUGAAAAGAAGCUGUCCAACUUGUCAUUUUACCGUCCACGUGAUUGGACCAAACGGGUACGUUACGCAACACGCAGAGACAAAAACAUCGUCAUUGGCUACCUUAUUAUAAAUACUAGAGAUGGGCCAGAGUUUUUUUAAAGUAAUUUUGUGCUUUUAUCAAGUUUAAAUGCAGGUGUUGCGUAGUUUUUUUGUUUUUUAUCUACAAUGCAUUAGAGUUCCCCGUUUUAUUUUUCCUAUGUUUGAUGUGUACGUUUUCUACAACAUUCUAAUUUAUUGAGAUCUUUAUUGAGACUUGUAACAGCAUUAAAAAAUUAAUUUCACCCUUUUAAAAAAACCAUUUGUUAAACGUUUUUUUUUUUUUUUUUAUCUAAAUUUGUUAGCCUGUCCGUAGAUUUUUCAUUCUCUGUUAGCCUAAGCUAGCAGAGUUUAAGGGCAAAUUAUUUUACAUUUAGUACAUUUGUUUUUCUUGUUGUUUUGUGUUAAAUUUGACAGUGAACUUCAACAGGUUACAACCACCAUAACCCAAAUGUCUUCUUUUUUUUGCUAAACCAAGCAAAAAGUCAGCCUAUCACAUGAUAUAUAGUAUUUAGUACUAAUUUAGUAUUGCUGCAUGGAAAUCUCAAUUAUUCUCAGACUCAAAAGGAACAGAACAACUUGCAAGUGAACUCUGCAGCCUGAGCCCCGCCUGCAUUUUUGGACUUUAAUGGUCCUUUGCGGCUGGCAGGCUGCCAAACUCCCACAUUACACAAGACCAUCCUUACAAAGCAGCGACCUGCAGUCAGCCUGUCUGUGUGUGAAUGUGCACAUGUACACUAGUCAACACGUUCAUCUGGUUUAGAUGGAGAACAAAGACACAGCUGGGUGAACUAACAUGAACAUGGACAACAGGUCAUUGACCCAGGUGAGUGCUUAUGAUGAAAAUGUUCAUGUGUGUACCUGCUCUCUCCCUCGGUCGAGCCUGUCCAUCAGCUGGUCUCCAUUCUGACGCUCCUCGUCCAAGUCCAACUCCAGCUGAGCGAUUCUGUCCUGAAGAACGUCACACCCAUUAGUAAAUGAUGUACAAUAUCUCACCAAUAUUUUACAGCACUGGGUGAUGCAAAGUGUUCUCGAUAAAUGGACGUUUAAAUGUGUGAACAAUUCAUCUGGUUUACCGCACCUCCAUGAGUUUGAACUGUCGAGUCUUAUCAUCUUUCGAGUGAGUGUUGGUCUUCACCGCUACCUCCAGUUCAUUAACUUUCUUCUCCAACAUCUUCUCAUUGAGCACAGCCUCAUCUCGCUCCUGCUCACAACGACGUAGAUCAUCCUCUCGGCGCAACAGCUAAAAGCAAGGAUGAAAGAAAAAAAAAACAAGAGAAAUCUUAAAAUUGCAUUUUUUUCUGAAAUUGUAUGUACCUAAAUGUUGAAACGCAUGAACGCAGGCCAAUAACUCCGAUUAUAUAUUGUAUAUCACGUCGUACUAUUGUGAGAAGAUGUAAAAAAAAAAAAGUCUGCUUGUAAUUUUAUCUAAAUUCUGCCAAGUUGACAUGGGCGGGGACUGUUGGGGCAUCUCAGAGCAGCUGGAAAAGCAAACUCAGGAGAGCUGAAGGAAGGAGGAUGUGAAUCCAGCCAGCACAGCUUUAACAACAAUGAUAUCACAACCUUGGAUGUCCUCCCCCUAUUUCCUGUGCAGCCGUUGGAGGAAAAAAAAAAUGUUUUACUAAUGAGGACAAAGCGCAUACUCGGACGAAAAAAAAAAUGUUUUACUAAUGAGGACAAAGCGCAUACUCGUACAUGGACCUGAGCGCGGAUCUCAAGGGUGAGCUCAAAGCUUGUGGUCAAUUAUAUUCCCUUUACGGUAUGUAGGUGGCAGUAACGUGCAUUCAAAUGGCCUCGACAACUAUCCCAAAACUGAAACUUCUUUGUUUUCCACCCAAGGUUUUCACAGUGAUAAAUAUAGCACUGUCCAGAUCCACUCUGGUUUUACCAGUUAUACUGGUCACAAGUGAAGGCAAAAAAAUGACUUCUACGUCUGUGGGGGUGAAGUGAACAACAAAAUUACAGUUUUAGAACUCAGAAUGCCUCACAUGAAAAGAUCCUGUUCCAGAUGCUCCAGCAUCGUUUGCGCUAUUUUAUCAAACUCAAAACUGGAACAGAGCGACCACUGUAAAUAUAUGCUCAAAUGCUCGCCCUUGGGUAUGUAAAUAUUUGCGUAAUACAUAAAAGAAUAGAAGGCCAGUGCCCUCCCUCUUAAAGAAUAAUUCUUCCCAUUCAUCAACUUCUGCAACGAACAAAGGCAUUCCUAACAUUCUCACGUGAGUGACGAGGAUGAAUUUGUCAUGUGCAAACAGUGCAUUGCGACAAGAGAUGUUAAGAGAUGCCACCUAUGAAGCACAAGAUGAUUUUGACGGAGUGUAUCGAGUCGAGAUGAAUCACAACGGAUGUUGUUCUGCAUUAAAGCCUUGAUUUGAGUUGUACCUCCUCUUGCAGCGUUUGGGCAGCCAGCAGGUACUUGUCGAGUUCCUGGCCUCGCUCCUUAAGGAGCUUCUGCAGCUCCGUCAGCUCCCGCCGGUUCUUUUCCUUGUAAAUGUCAAUUUGUUCCUGCAACUCCCGUGUUGACGACUGGGACGCGUCCACGAUGUCGUUCAUCUGUGGGCACAAAGAGCACAGGUCAAGUUAAGUUCACCUGUAAAGGUUCCUUGUUUCCUUCCUCGCUUCCUCCCUCGACUUAGUUUAAAAGGUGUAUUGUAUUUCUCACCCGUUCAAAAUGUUUGUGUGGAAGUGAGAAUUAGAAUUGUUUGUAUUGUUUAGAUUACGCAAUACUGUCAGCCUGAUUGAGUUGAUCUGAUAUAACGACAAAAAUGUGUUUUCUGGAAUUUGUCCAUCGGUGAGAAAAGUCAAUCAGGUGGAACAAGCGCGCAAUUCACUGAAACAGCUUCUUGAGCUUCUACAGCAUUAAGCUGUAACUUAAAUGCUGGGAGAGAAGCACAUGCCUCUUUCUGAAGUUUCUCCACCGUUCGGUCCAGCAGCCGCCUUUCGUCCUCAAUGUCAUUCUUCAUAUUCUUAAACUGCUCCUUCUGUAGCUUCUCCUCUUGAAGACGCUCCUCCAACUGCUUGUGCUCACCGAUCAUCUUGGAAAAGUUCCUCUAGCAAAGCACAUAUCAAUCACAUCAUGCGAAAGUCAGAUUUGCCUUAGAGCAACCAAAUUGAAAAUUGCUCACCUGUACAUCUUCAAGUCGUAA